AGUGCCUACGGGAGGCAGCAGUGAGGAAUAUUGGUCAAUGGGCGGAAGCCUGAACCAGCCAAGUCGCGUGAGGGAAUAAGGCCCUACGGGUCGUAAACCUCUUUUGCCGGGGAGCAAGGGCGGGGACGUGUCCCGGCCCGGAGAGUACCCGGAGAAAAAGCAUCGGCUAACUCCGUGCCAGCAGCCGCGGUAAUACGGAGGAUGCGAGCGUUAUCCGGAUUUAUUGGGUUUAAAGGGUGCGUAGGCGGGCUUUUAAGUCAGCGGUAAAAAUUCGGGGCUCAACCCCGAAACUGCCUCUAAUACUG
Molecule: ribosomal RNA, 305 nt
Filed under: uncultured bacterium
Lineage: Bacteria
Description: bacterial SSU rRNA
Rfam family: Bacterial small subunit ribosomal RNA
Source: RNAcentral